This is a long non-coding RNA of Camellia sinensis, 622 nucleotides long. RefSeq lists it as uncharacterized. NCBI's taxonomy places the organism in Eukaryota, Viridiplantae, Streptophyta, Magnoliopsida, Ericales, Theaceae. The record is from RefSeq and is a predicted model, not a curated record.
AUCUUCUGUCUGUCUGUCAAAUCACUAGAAAAUGAUGGUUUCUUUUCAAUUACCUAACUUAUUAUGUGUACACAUCCUUUGUAUUGCAGAGAUGAUCCAGAACAUGACAGAAUGUAUAAGGUGAGAGUUAGAUGGGGUGAUCCUAUGGCACAUUUGGUCAAGAAAAGUAUCCUGAGCUUGUUCUAUCAGACCUAGGAGAUGAUGAUAAGAUGAAAGAAUCAGGGUUUAUAGUCCCUCAAGACAUUCCUAGUCACAGCUGGUUAAAAAGAGGAUUAGAUGCUCCUCCAAACCGGUAUGCCAUCAGACCAGGGAGACACUGGGAUGGGGUCGAUUGUAGUAAUGGGUUUGAAAAGGAAAUCUUUAAAAGGACGAACGAGAAACAGGGCACGGAAAGCGAAGCAUAUCUUUGGUCUGUAUCAGAUAUGUGAAGUGCAAGGACUGUAUUCUUCAUGCUGUUGCUACAGGGGUUAUACUCAGUUUAGUGUUUGUGUUAAGUGGUAGUUAGAGACGAGUACAAGAAAAAUAGCUUGGAAAAGAAGCUCUGAUGUGCUGUAAAAAAUAAGGAUAGACAAUGACAGAUGGUUAUAUACAUUGCCUGUAGUGCAUGCGGCCCUGUUCUUGC